ACAGAAGCAGAGCCUGCCUGUGAAGCUCUUUGUUUUCCUUGAACGCCUCUUUGGAUUUUUACAUGGGCUGUUCAUUCUGGAUUAGAAACCUGUGGUUGGCAUUUGUGAACUUUCUCCAUACCCGGUAAGGUACCCGUGGAGAAUCCAAAGACGGAGGGAUUGAACUUCCUCAGAAUGUCUUUAAAGAUCAGUGGGACAGAGAGCACAGGUGAAAGGAGGCAGAAGGCCCUGGCCUCAGUGGGGGAAAGAUGGCUUCUCUGUGCUGGUUACUUACUGGGCAGUGUGGUGUGAGUCUCCAAGGCCCCAUCUCCUCCAAUACUGGGGAAGAACAAGGAACUUGGUUGAAAACACCCUGACUUGCUUCUUCAUGUCUCAUCACCCAGAGAAUCUGCCCCAGAGCAUCACCAACCCACCAGCCUCAGGGCUAACGGAAGCAUCAUGGCAUCCUCUGGGGUCUCAGCAUGGGGCCGUGGGACCUGACUUCACUCUUGGAGGGAAUUCGUUCUUCCUCUUUGGGGGAGGCAUUGUCUACAGAGAACAAGCCAAGAACAGCCUCACCUCCAGGAGAGGCCCCUCCAGGACGUGAGCGGGUUGCUUGGUCUGGCUCCCAUCGCCGUCUGUGAAAAGCAAAGAGGAGCCUCCAGGUGGCUGCUGGGCCCAGCUGCAGAGCAAGGGCACUGGGAGAGGCCCCUCUGGCCCUGGGGUAUAGCCAGGACCCAGAUUUGUCCCUCCUGAAAAUGACACUGGCUUUUCUCCAGGCCACGCUAAGCUCCAGAUUGCCUCGUUCUUCUCCCCAGACCUCUUCCAACAGCCAGGAACCAAGUCUUGUGGAUUCUUGUCUCCCAGCCUCCCUGGCACCUGUGCCUGUCUUUUGCUCUCUGUGCCAUAUUUCUGGAUGAGAGUCUCAGCUCCCUGCUGUGGGCAGCACCCUGGACCCCUGCCUGACCUCCCAUCUCCUCUCUGUUCCCUUCCCACCAGCCGGGCUGCCGUCUGCUCCUCUGAGCAUCUCUCUCUACAAGCCUCCUCUGUGCCCAGCACACCUCUGACCCUUCAAAGCAUCUUUCAUACCUUCAGGGUCAAGGCCAAAUGCUCAUCCAUGUGGACACCAUCAUCUGGUACCCACUUUCCUUCCCUUUGUUUCCUCUUUCCUUCCCUGUCCACACAAACCAUCAGGCUAAGCAAAUUGAUCUGUCACUGUUUCCCAGACAUGAGGGCCUUGCUGCUCUGCCCUGUCCCCUGCCCACCCGCUCCAUCCUUCCUGAAGGGCUGAGCACCCUCCUUCCCAGCUCCUCAAACCUCCAA
Molecule: long non-coding RNA, 1302 nt
Organism: Sciurus carolinensis (gray squirrel)
Lineage: Eukaryota; Metazoa; Chordata; Mammalia; Rodentia; Sciuridae
Exons: 3
Source: RefSeq, a predicted model, not a curated record